UUGACCUCGGAUCAGGGUA
RNAcentral lists this ribosomal RNA (19 nucleotides) under Polyblastidium japonicum. RNAcentral describes it as "partial 28S ribosomal RNA". The record is from RNAcentral. Lineage: Eukaryota; Fungi; Ascomycota; Lecanoromycetes; Caliciales; Physciaceae.